CACGGAGGGUGCGAGCGUUAAUCGGAAUUACUGGGCGUAAAGCGCACGCAGGCGGCUUGUUAAGCUAGAGGUGAAAGCCCCGCGCUCAACGUGGGAACUGCCUUUAGAACUGGCAGGCUAGAGUCUUGGAGAGGGGAGUGGAAUUCCAGGUGUAGCGGUGAAAUGCGUAGAUAUCUGGAGGAACAUCAGUGGCGAAGGCGACUCUGGCAAUACUGACCUGAGGUCGAAAGCGUGGGGAGCAAACAGGAUUAGAUACCCGUAGUCC
RNAcentral lists this ribosomal RNA (265 nucleotides) under uncultured bacterium. RNAcentral's name for it is "partial 16S ribosomal RNA". It matches the Rfam family "Bacterial small subunit ribosomal RNA", at positions 524 to 796 of the family's 1533-position model. The record is from RNAcentral.